GACGAACGCUGGCGGCGUGCUUAACACAUGCAAGUCGAACGGAAAGGCCCUGCUUUUGUGGGGUGCUCGAGUGGCGAACGGGUGAGUAACACGUGAGUAACCUGCCCUUGACUCUGGGAUAACUUCAGGAAACUGGGGCUAAUACCGGAUAGGCGCUCCUGCUGCAUUGUGGGGGUUGGAAAGUUUCGGCGGUUGGGGAUGGACUCGCGGCUUGUCAGCUUGUUGGUGGGGUAGUGGCUUACCAAGGCUUUGACGUGUAGCCGGCCUGAGAGGGUGACCGGCCACAUUGGGACUGAGAUACGGCCCAGACUCCUACGGAAGGCAGCAGUGGGGAAUAUUGCACCAUGGGCGGAAGCCUGAUGCAGCAACGCCGCGUGCGGGAUGACGGCCUUCGGGUUGUAAACAGCUUUCGCCUGUGACGAAGCGUGAGUGACGGUAAUGGGUAAAGAAGCACCGGCUAACUACGUG
RNAcentral lists this ribosomal RNA (468 nucleotides) under uncultured bacterium. RNAcentral's name for it is "partial 16S ribosomal RNA". It matches the Rfam family "Bacterial small subunit ribosomal RNA", at positions 28 to 507 of the family's 1533-position model. The record is from RNAcentral.